RNAcentral lists this ribosomal RNA (608 nucleotides) under Pseudomonas putida. RNAcentral's name for it is "bacterial SSU rRNA". It matches the Rfam family "Bacterial small subunit ribosomal RNA", at positions 52 to 655 of the family's 1533-position model. The record is from RNAcentral. Lineage: Bacteria; Pseudomonadati; Pseudomonadota; Gammaproteobacteria; Pseudomonadales; Pseudomonadaceae.
CACAUGCAAGUCGAGCGGAUGAAGAGAGCUUGCUCUCUGAUUCAGCGGCGGACGGGUGAGUAAUGCCUAGGAAUCUGCCUGGUAGUGGGGGACAACGUUUCGAAAGGAACGCUAAUACCGCAUACGUCCUACGGGAGAAAGCAGGGGACCUUCGGGCCUUGCGCUAUCAGAUGAGCCUAGGUCGGAUUAGCUAGUUGGUGAGGUAAUGGCUCACCAAGGCGACGAUCCGUAACUGGUCUGAGAGGAUGAUCAGUCACACUGGAACUGAGACACGGUCCAGACUCCUACGGGAGGCAGCAGUGGGGAAUAUUGGACAAUGGGCGAAAGCCUGAUCCAGCCAUGCCGCGUGUGUGAAGAAGGUCUUCGGAUUGUAAAGCACUUUAAGUUGGGAGGAAGGGCAGUAAGCGAAUACCUUGCUGUUUUGACGUUACCGACAGAAUAAGCACCGGCUAACUCUGUGCCAGCAGCCGCGGUAAUACAGAGGGUGCAAGCGUUAAUCGGAAUUACUGGGCGUAAAGCGCGCGUAGGUGGUUUGUUAAGUUGGAUGUGAAAGCCCCGGGCUCAACCUGGGAACUGCAUUCAAAACUGACAAGCUAGAGUAUGGUAGA